GUUGGCUUAGAAGCAGCCAUCAUUUAAAGAAAGCGUAAUAGCUCACUGGUCGAGUCGGCCCGCGCGGAAGAUGUAACGGGGCUAAACCAUGCACCGAAGCUGCGGCAGCGACACAUAGUGUUGUUGGGUAGGGGAGCGUUCUGUAAGCCUGCGAAGGUGUACUGUGAGGUAUGCUGGAGGUAUCAGAAGUGCGAAUGCUGACAUAAGUAACGAUAAUGCGGGUGAAAAACCCG
RNAcentral lists this ribosomal RNA (233 nucleotides) under Proteus mirabilis. Its description in RNAcentral is "partial 23S ribosomal RNA". It matches the Rfam family "Bacterial large subunit ribosomal RNA", at positions 1100 to 1332 of the family's 2925-position model. Lineage: Bacteria; Pseudomonadati; Pseudomonadota; Gammaproteobacteria; Enterobacterales; Morganellaceae. The record is from RNAcentral.